CGCUAAGAAGCUAAAUUGGGCCAUAGCGUUAGCCUUUUAAGCUAAAGAUUGGUGACCCCCGCCCACCCUUAGUGA
Molecule: transfer RNA, 75 nt
Filed under: Brachaluteres ulvarum (Japanese inflator filefish)
Lineage: Eukaryota; Metazoa; Chordata; Actinopteri; Tetraodontiformes; Monacanthidae
Description: tRNA-Lys
Rfam family: tRNA
About the family: Transfer RNA (tRNA) molecules are approximately 80 nucleotides in length.
Source: RNAcentral